RNAcentral lists this unclassified non-coding RNA (196 nucleotides) under rhizosphere metagenome. RNAcentral describes it as "partial ribosomal RNA internal transcribed spacer region". The record is from RNAcentral.
GUAGGUGAACCUGCGGAAGGAUCAUUACCUAGAGUUUGCGGGCUUUGCCUGCUAUCUCUUACCCAUGUCUUUUGAGUACUUACGUUUCAUCGGUGGAUUCGCCCGCCGAUUGGACAAUUUAAACCCUUUGCAGUUGCAAUCAGCGUCUGAAAAAAAUUAAUAAUUACAACUUUCAACAACGGAUCUCUUGGUUCUG